GAUGAACGCUGGCGGCGUGCCUAAUACAUGCAAGUCGAGCGAACAGAUAAGGAGCUUGCUCCUUUGACGUUAGCGUCGGACGGGUGAGUAACACGUGGGUAACCUACCUAUAAGACUGGGAUAACUUCGGGAAACCGGAGCUAAUACCGGAUAAUAUUUCGAACCGCAUGGUUCGAUAGUGAAAGAUGGUUUUGCUAUCACUUAUAGAUGGACCCGCGCCGUAUUAGCUAGUUGGUAAGGUAACGGCUUACCAAGGCGACGAUACGUAGCCGACCUGAGAGGGUGAUCGGCCACACUGGAACUGAGACACGGUCCAGACUCCUACGGGAGGCAGCAGUAGGGAAUCUUCCGCAAAGGGCGAAAGCCUGACGGAGCAACGCCGCGUGAGUGAUGAAGGUCUUCGGAUCGUAAAACUCUGUUAUUAGGGAAGAACAUACGUGUAAGUAACUGUGCACGUCUUGACGGUACCUAAUCAGAAAGCCACGGCUAACUACGUG
Molecule: ribosomal RNA, 497 nt
Filed under: uncultured bacterium
Lineage: Bacteria
Description: partial 16S ribosomal RNA
Rfam family: Bacterial small subunit ribosomal RNA
Source: RNAcentral